RNAcentral lists this ribosomal RNA (312 nucleotides) under uncultured bacterium. Its description in RNAcentral is "bacterial SSU rRNA". It matches the Rfam family "Bacterial small subunit ribosomal RNA", at positions 29 to 342 of the family's 1533-position model. The record is from RNAcentral.
AACGAACGCUGGCGGCAUGCCUAACACAUGCAAGUCGAACGGCAGCACGGGAGCAAUCCUGGUGGCGAGUGGCGAACGGGUGAGUAAUAUAUCGGAACGUGCCCAGUCGUGGGGGAUAACGUAGCGAAAGCUACGCUAAUACCGCAUACUAUCUAUGGAUGAAAGCGGGGGAUCGCAAGACCUCGCGCGAUUGGAGCGGCCGAUAUCAGAUUAGGUAGUUGGUGAGGUAAAGGACUCACCAAGCCGACGAUCUGUAGCUGGUCUGAGAGGACGACCAGCACACUGGGACUGAGACACGGCCCAGACUCCUAC